RNAcentral lists this ribosomal RNA (253 nucleotides) under uncultured Anaerococcus sp. RNAcentral's name for it is "partial 16S ribosomal RNA". It matches the Rfam family "Bacterial small subunit ribosomal RNA", at positions 99 to 354 of the family's 1533-position model. Lineage: Bacteria; Bacillati; Bacillota; Tissierellia; Tissierellales; Peptoniphilaceae. The record is from RNAcentral.
CGGACGGGUGAGUAACGCGUGAGUAACCUGCCUUACACAAGGGGAUAGCCGUUGGAAACGACGAAUAAUACCCUAUGACAUAAACUCCUCGCAUGAGGAGCUUAUCAAAGAUUUAUCGGUGUAAGAUGGACUCGCGUCUGAUUAGCUAGUUGUGAGGUACGCCACCAAGGCGACGAUCAGUAGCCGGCUUGAGAGAGUGUACGGCCACAUUGGGACUGAGACACGGCCCAGACUCCUACGGGAGGCAACAGAU